AUACGUAGGGUGCAAGCGUUAAUCGGAAUUACUGGGCGUAAAGCGUGCGCAGGCGGUUUUGUAAGACAGUGGUGAAAUCCCCGGGCUCAACCUGGGAACUGCCAUUGUGACUGCAAGGCUGGAGUGCGGCAGAGGGGGAUGGAAUUCCGCGUGUAGCAGUGAAAUGCGUAGAUAUGCGGAGGAACACCGAUGGCGAAGGCAAUCCCCUGGGCCUGUACUGACGCUCAUGCACGAAAGCGUGGGGAGCAAACAGGAUUAGAUACCCUGGUAGUCCACGCCCUAAACGAUGUCAACUGGUUGUUGGGGAUUUAUUUUCUCAGUAACGAAGCUAACGCGUGAAGUUGACCGCCUGGGGAGUACGGCCGCAAGGUUAAAACUCAAAGGAAUUGACGGGG
Molecule: ribosomal RNA, 395 nt
Filed under: uncultured bacterium
Lineage: Bacteria
Description: partial 16S ribosomal RNA
Rfam family: Bacterial small subunit ribosomal RNA
Source: RNAcentral